AAAAAAUUCCAUAUAGCCACGAAAAUUAAGGCUCAGUCACGAAAAUUCAAAUGGCUAUAGGGAUUUUUUUUUUACUAGUAUAUAUAUAAGGGAGUUUUUUUUUUUUUAGUUAAAAGUUCUCGUUGCUCUAAUAUUAAAGUGGAUUCUUUGGCACACAAACUUAUUUUCCGAACCGCUAUUAAGUCUCAACGUAAACAAUGUUUUUUGUUCUUAGCUCGUUUGAGUCCUUUAUUUAAUGGUCUACAGUCCUAACAUUCACGACAAACAAAAAGUAACCAUAUCUGAUUUUAAACAAAACAUAAAUCCAGUAACCAACUCGAAUUGAUUU
RNAcentral lists this long non-coding RNA (328 nucleotides) under Capsella rubella. RNAcentral's name for it is "long non-coding RNA (CRUB_LNC000934)". The record is from RNAcentral. Lineage: Eukaryota; Viridiplantae; Streptophyta; Magnoliopsida; Brassicales; Brassicaceae.